RNAcentral lists this ribosomal RNA (394 nucleotides) under uncultured bacterium. RNAcentral describes it as "bacterial SSU rRNA". It matches the Rfam family "Bacterial small subunit ribosomal RNA", at positions 373 to 760 of the family's 1533-position model. The record is from RNAcentral.
UGACGAAGUCUGACGGAGCACGCCGCGUGAGCGAUGAAGGCCUUCGGGUCGUAAAGCUCUGUUGUUAGGGAAGAACAAGUACCGUUCGAAUAGGGCGGUACCUUGACGGUACCUAACCAAAAAGCCACGGCUAACUACUUGCCACCAGCCGCGGUAAUACUUAGGUGGCAAGCGUUGUCCGGAAUUAUUGGGCGUAAAGCGCCCGCAGGCGGUUCCUUAAUUCUAAUGUGAAAGCCCACGGCUCACCCGGGAAGGGUCAUUGGAAACUGGGGAACUUGAUUGCAAAAAAGGAAAGCGAAAUUCCCCGUGUACCGGUGAAAUGCUUAAAGAUGUGAAGGAACACCAUUGGCAAAGGCGGCUUUUUGGUCUGUACCUGACGCUGAGGCCCGAAACC